Non-coding RNA from Taenia asiatica, 72 nucleotides. Lineage: Eukaryota; Metazoa; Platyhelminthes; Cestoda; Cyclophyllidea; Taeniidae. The record is from Rfam.
GGCUCAGUGGUCUAGGGGUAUGAUUCGCGCUUUGGGUGCGCGAGGUCCCGGGUUCGAAUCCCGGUUGGGCCC